RNAcentral lists this ribosomal RNA (2742 nucleotides) under Escherichia coli. Its description in RNAcentral is "partial 23S ribosomal RNA". It matches the Rfam family "Bacterial large subunit ribosomal RNA". Lineage: Bacteria; Pseudomonadati; Pseudomonadota; Gammaproteobacteria; Enterobacterales; Enterobacteriaceae. The record is from RNAcentral.
CCAUAGGUUAAUGAGGCGAACCGGGGGAACUGAAACAUCUAAGUACCCCGAGGAAAAGAAAUCAACCGAGAUUCCCCCAGUAGCGGCGAGCGAACGGGGAGGAGCCCAGAGCCUGAAUCAGUGUGUGUGUUAGUGGAAGCGUCUGGAAAGGCGCGCGAUACAGGGUGACAGCCCCGUACACAAAAAUGCACAUACUGUGAGCUCGAUGAGUAGGGCGGGACACGUGGUAUCCUGUCUGAAUAUGGGGGGACCAUCCUCCAAGGCUAAAUACUCCUGACUGACCGAUAGUGAACCAGUACCGUGAGGGAAAGGCGAAAAGAACCCCGGCGAGGGGAGUGAAAAAGAACCUGAAACCGUGUACGUACAAGCAGUGGGAGCCUCUUAAUGGGGUGACUGCGUACCUUUUGUAUAAUGGGUCAGCGACUUAUAUUCUGUAGCAAGGUUAACCGAAUAGGGGAGCCGAAGGGAAACCGAGUCUUAACUGGGCGUUAAGUUGCAGGGUAUAGACCCGAAACCCGGUGAUCUAGCCAUGGGCAGGUUGAAGGUUGGGUAACACUAACUGGAGGACCGAACCGACUAAUGUUGAAAAAUUAGCGGAUGACUUGUGGCUGGGGGUGAAAGGCCAAUCAAACCGGGAGAUAGCUGGUUCUCCCCGAAAGCUAUUUAGGUAGCGCCUCGUGAAUUCAUCUCCGGGGGUAGAGCACUGUUUCGGCAAGGGGGUCAUCCCGACUUACCAACCCGAUGCAAACUGCGAAUACCGGAGAAUGUUAUCACGGGAGACACACGGCGGGUGCUAACGUCCGUCGUGAAGAGGGAAACAACCCAGACCGCCAGCUAAGGUCCCAAAGUCAUGGUUAAGUGGGAAACGAUGUGGGAAGGCCCAGACAGCCAGGAUGUUGGCUUAGAAGCAGCCAUCAUUUAAAGAAAGCGUAAUAGCUCACUGGUCGAGUCGGCCUGCGCGGAAGAUGUAACGGGGCUAAACCAUGCACCGAAGCUGCGGCAGCGACACUAUGUGUUGUUGGGUAGGGGAGCGUUCUGUAAGCCUGUGAAGGUGGCCUGUGAGGGUUGCUGGAGGUAUCAGAAGUGCGAAUGCUGACAUAAGUAACGAUAAAGCGGGUGAAAAGCCCGCUCGCCGGAAGACCAAGGGUUCCUGUCCAACGUUAAUCGGGGCAGGGUGAGUCGACCCCUAAGGCGAGGCCGAAAGGCGUAGUCGAUGGGAAACAGGUUAAUAUUCCUGUACUUGGUGUUACUGCGAAGGGGGGACGGAGAAGGCUAUGUUGGCCGGGCGACGGUUGUCCCGGUUUAAGCGUGUAGGCUGGUUUUCCAGGCAAAUCCGGAAAAUCAAGGCUGAGGCGUGAUGACGAGGCACUACGGUGCUGAAGCGACAAAUGCCCUGCUUCCAGGAAAAGCCUCUAAGCAUCAGGUAACAUCAAAUCGUACCCCAAACCGACACAGGUGGUCAGGUAGAGAAUACCAAGGCGCUUGAGAGAACUCGGGUGAAGGAACUAGGCAAAAUGGUGCCGUAACUUCGGGAGAAGGCACGCUGAUAUGUAGGUGAAGCGACUUGCUCGUGGAGCUGAAAUCAGUCGAAGAUACCAGCUGGCUGCAACUGUUUAUUAAAAACACAGCACUGUGCAAACACGAAAGUGGACGUAUACGGUGUGACGCCUGCCCGGUGCCGGAAGGUUAAUUGAUGGGGUUAGCGGUAACGCGAAGCUCUUGAUCGAAGCCCCGGUAAACGGCGGCCGUAACUAUAACGGUCCUAAGGUAGCGAAAUUCCUUGUCGGGUAAGUUCCGACCUGCACGAAUGGCGUAAUGAUGGCCAGGCUGUCUCCACCCGAGACUCAGUGAAAUUGAACUCGCUGUGAAGAUGCAGUGUACCCGCGGCAAGACGGAAAGACCCCGUGAACCUUUACUAUAGCUUGACACUGAACAUUGAGCCUUGAUGUGUAGGAUAGGUGGGAGGCUUUGAAGUGUGGACGCCAGUCUGCAUGGAGCCGACCUUGAAAUACCACCCUUUAAUGUUUGAUGUUCUAACGUGGGCCCCUUACCGGGGUUGCGGACAGUGUCUGGUGGGUAGUUUGACUGGGGCGGUCUCCUCCUAAAGAGUAACGGAGGAGCACGAAGGUUGGCUAAUCCUGGUCGGACAUCAGGAGGUUAGUGCAAUGGCAUAAGCCAGCUUGACUGCGAGCGUGACGGCGCGAGCAGGUGCGAAAGCAGGUCAUAGUGAUCCGGUGGUUCUGAAUGGAAGGGCCAUCGCUCAACGGAUAAAAGGUACUCCGGGGAUAACAGGCUGAUACCGCCCAAGAGUUCAUAUCGACGGCGGUGUUUGGCACCUCGAUGUCGGCUCAUCACAUCCUGGGGCUGAAGUAGGUCCCAAGGGUAUGGCUGUUCGCCAUUUAAAGUGGUACGCGAGCUGGGUUUAGAACGUCGUGAGACAGUUCGGUCCCUAUCUGCCGUGGGCGCUGGAGAACUGAGGGGGGCUGCUCCUAGUACGAGAGGACCGGAGUGGACGCAUCACUGGUGUUCGGGUUGUCAUGCCAAUGGCACUGCCCGGUAGCUAAAUGCGGAAGAGAUAAGUGCUGAAAGCAUCUAAGCACGAAACUUGCCCCGAGAUGAGUUCUCCCUGACUCCUUGAGAGUCCUGAAGGAACGUUGAAGACGACGACGUUGAUAGGCCGGGUGUGUAAGCGCAGCGAUGCGUUGAGCUAACCGGUACUAAUGAACCGUGAGGCUUAACCUU